AAAAAAAAAAAGAGAAACCUUAGAAGUUAGGAAUAAUGUGAUACAUUAACUUAUAUAUCAUAAUUGAUAAUAUGUAAAGUAUUCAAAUAUAUAUAGUUAUUUACCUGAGAAGGAAGAAAUCGUUGUAACAUGAAUGAAAUAUUCGUAAGCUGAGACUGCAAAUUUGCUUGGUUUUGCUUCAGCUCUUCAAUAGUUGCUUGAAGAUGACGAACUUCUGCAGUGUUACUAGAUUCUCUGGCAUUUCUUGUACAUGUGCCCACUGAAGACAACUGAGUGGGGGUAACUCCAACGCCGUAACCCCUCACUCGACCAUAACGCUCUGGGCCCAUCAAUUCAGCGAGCACUUGAGCUUCAAUAUGAUUGGUCGCGUCGGAUGAUGAUGACCCCCCGACGCGCUCUGAAAUAAG
This 407-nucleotide long non-coding RNA is filed under the name Phoenix dactylifera (date palm). RNAcentral describes it as "long non-coding RNA (PDAC_LNC013968)". The record is from RNAcentral. Lineage: Eukaryota; Viridiplantae; Streptophyta; Magnoliopsida; Arecales; Arecaceae.